RNAcentral lists this transfer RNA (85 nucleotides) under Planctomycetota bacterium. RNAcentral describes it as "Planctomycetes bacterium tRNA-Leu". It matches the Rfam family "tRNA". From Rfam's summary of the family: Transfer RNA (tRNA) molecules are approximately 80 nucleotides in length. Their secondary structure includes four short double-helical elements and three loops (D, anti-codon, and T loops). Further hydrogen bonds mediate the characteristic L-shaped molecular structure. tRNAs have two regions of fundamental functional importance: the anti-codon, which is responsible for specific mRNA codon recognition, and the 3' end, to which the tRNAs corresponding amino acid is attached (by aminoacyl-tRNA synthetases). tRNAs cope with the degeneracy of the genetic code in two manners: having more than one tRNA (with a specific anti-codon) for a particular amino acid; and 'wobble' base-pairing, i.e. permitting non-standard base-pairing at the 3rd anti-codon position. Lineage: Bacteria; Pseudomonadati; Planctomycetota. The record is from RNAcentral. RNAcentral also lists the same sequence under 1 other name.
GCCGGAGUGGCGGAAUGGCAGACGCGCUGGAUUCAAAAUCCAGUUAGAGUAACAUCUAGUGCGGGUUCGACCCCCGCCUCCGGUA